UCGACUGGAAACAGUCCCUGCUCUUUCGGGUAGGGGUAAGGCUCGUCUACAUAUUACCCUCCCUAGACCCCACUUUGUGGGAUAUUACUGGGUAGUUGUUGUUGUUGUUGUUGUUUACUCCUAAUGAUGAAAUAGUUAUUGCAUUACAUUUAAUAGAUUGAUGUAUUUUAAAAUAACAGAUAAUGAAUGAAAGUGACGCCCGAUAGUGUAAUUUUACUGUCUAAUUUGUUCACUAACUUAAAAAAGAAUAUGAUAACGGAAGGAAACAAAAAUUUUAAGUGACUUAAGCAGUUAGCUAUUUACUUGGGCUGAAGCAUUAAUUUAAGGGGAUUUACUCUUUAAUAAGUUAUACUAUAAUAUUGAUAAAAAUUAUAAUUUAUUCAACUGAUACAAAUAGGGAUUUACUCUUUAAUAAGUUAUACUAUAAUAUUGAUAAAAAAUAUAGUUUAUUCAGUUGAUACAAAUAAACUAUUUUAUGUCAAUAACACGUCCAUUUUAAAUAAAGAGAACGAAAUGAAAGAAAAUCUAAACGGAGUGGGGCAGGGCAAAAAUUUGGAAAAAGACUAAAAGGAACAUGGCAGGGCGGGUGAAAAUUUUAGCGGGUUAAGGCUUGCCCCGCGGCGCCCCGCGCCAACUGCCAUCUCUACUCCUAAGAGGAGUCAUUGUUUUAACGCAUGCCUUAAUUGCCAUUACUACUCAAAUGCUUAUUAGUAUUUCACUCCUCCCUUAUCUACUUAAUGACUUUGUAUAAUUAAUGCACAAUUAACAAUUUUAUUCAUUAUUUCUGAAACAAAACAUACUUAUUCCCACUCUUACCAUAUAAAUUAGAUCCUGCUCAAGAAACAAUUUCAGUAUUCUCAAAUCAUACAACAAUAUUCACUAUUUUUGUUCUCUUUUGCAUAUAUCGUUUCUCUCUAUACCAUGGGAAAUGAUAAUGAUAAUGAAAUUUGUGACAAUAGAGGUACACUCAGACUUGUCACAUGUGAUUUACAAUCAUCACGUUUAAAAACAUAGAAUAUUCACAUGACUAAAAAAACAAAGAAACAAACAACACAUUAAGAUAUGGGUGUAAACUUCAGUAUAGAAUAUUCACAUGACUAAAAAACAAAGAAACAAACAACACAUUAAGAAAUAUGUGUAAAGAUAGACCUUGUAGUGGUUGGACUUAAACUUCAAGAUUGCUGCUACUCAACAAUUAAACCAAGAGCAGCGACAGAAAUCCUAAACAUAACUCCAAUCAACAAGGAUUUCAGACCGAACAAACUGGACGUGGAUCGGAACCCCAUCGGCGACCUCAAAUGGACCUCAAAUCAGAAGCUUCGAACGGAUACCCCAUGAAAUCUCUUUUCGAAACCAGAAAAUUAAUUCAAGCAAAGAAAAUAAACAGAGACGAGAGGGUGGGGAUGCUACUACUCGUUGUUCUCAAAGGCGUUCAAGGUCCAAAAAUGGUGGAAUUUCGGCUGACUUUCAUGAACAAAAUGAAUUUCCCGUUUUUGUCUAACUUUGAGCUCAGAUCAUUUUUACUCAGCUGCUGCUUCUUUGGUUUUCGCUGGUUAGGGAUGGGGAGCUAUGAGGACGAUAACCUCAGCGGGGGUGGAGUCAUUUUUUUAUCUUCUGCUGCACUCCUCCUUUUUGCUCCCCUUGUUGCUUAGGUCUAAGUUCUAUUAUAUAGAUUUGAGUCUAGGGUUUUAGGAUUGGGUAAUGGGCUUGAGAAAAUUUGGAUCUUAAAAACUAGUUGGACAAUUUUAGAAAUUGGCCAAAUUUUAAAAUAAAC
RNAcentral lists this long non-coding RNA (1774 nucleotides) under Nicotiana benthamiana. RNAcentral's name for it is "long non-coding RNA (NBEN_LNC008053)". The record is from RNAcentral. Lineage: Eukaryota; Viridiplantae; Streptophyta; Magnoliopsida; Solanales; Solanaceae.